This 257-nucleotide long non-coding RNA is filed under the name Lathyrus oleraceus (garden pea). RNAcentral describes it as "Pisum sativum (pea) long non-coding RNA (PSAT_LNC010499)". The record is from RNAcentral. Lineage: Eukaryota; Viridiplantae; Streptophyta; Magnoliopsida; Fabales; Fabaceae.
UAUAAUCCUCCUUUUAAGAUUGGAAAGAUCGGGGGACGCAAGAUGGAGUGAUCAUAUCUCUGUUUCUCUUGCUGCUACAAGUACUUCGACUACUCGUUGAGACACAACAAACCAUUUUCUUCAAUUCCAAAAUUCCAGAAUGCCUAUGAAAUUCAUGUUCCAGUAUUAUUGUUGAUCAAAUUUUUUAGAGUUGAAAUUGUGAUUGAAUAUCUCAGUUUUUCAUAAACCAUUUCACUGAACAUCUCUAUUUGCUUCUC